RNAcentral lists this transfer RNA (69 nucleotides) under Microplitis manilae. RNAcentral describes it as "tRNA-Phe". The record is from RNAcentral. Lineage: Eukaryota; Metazoa; Arthropoda; Insecta; Hymenoptera; Braconidae.
AUUUAAAUAGCUUAAAUUAACAAAGUUUAAUAAUGAAAAUAUUAAGAUAAUUUUUAUAAUUUUUAAAUU